AAAAGCUCGUAGUUGGAUCUCAGUUCCAGACGGGUGGUCCGCCUACCGGUGGUCACUGCCCGUUCUGAACAGCCAGCCGGUUUCUCUUGAUGAUCUUCACCGGUUGUCUCGGGUGACCGGCAAGUUUACUUUGAAAAAAUUAGAGUGCUCAAAGCAGGCGCGACGCCUGAAUAAUGGUGCAUGGAAUAAUGGAAUAGGACCUCGGUUCUAUUUUGUUGGUUUUCGGAACACGAGGUAAUGAUUAAGAGGGACAGACGGGGGCAUUCGUAUUGCGACGCUAGAGGUGAAAAAAGUUAGAGGUUCGAAGGCGAUCAGAUACCGCCCUAGUUCUAACCAUAAACGAUGCCAGCCAGCGAUCCGGCUGUGUUCCUCAAAUGACACGCCGGGCAGCUUCCGGGAAACCAAAGCUUUUGGGUUCCGGGGGAAGUAUGGUUGCAAAGCUGAAACUUAAAGGAAUUGACGGAAGGGCACCACCAGAAAUGGAGCAUGCGGCUUAAUUUGACUCAACACGGGAAAACUUACCCGGCCCGGACACAGGAAGGAUUGACAGAUUAAGAGCUCUUUCUUGAUUCUGUGGGUGGUGGUGCAUGGCCGUUCUUAGUUGGUGGAGCGAUUUGUCUGGUUAAUUCCGAUAACGAACGAGACUCUAGCCUACUAAAUAGACGUUCCGAUCAUCUACGUCGGACGUUCUUCUUAGAGGGACAAGCGGCGUUUAGCCGCACGAGACAGAGCAAUAACAGGUCUGUGAUGCCCUUAGAUGUCCGGGGCCGCACGCGCGCUACAUUGAAGGAAUCAGCGUGUGCUUUCCCUGUCCGACAGGACUGGGUAACCCGUUGAACCUCCUUCGUGCUUGGGAUAGAAUUAUGUAAUUAAAUUCUUGAACGAGGAAUUCCCAGUAAGCACGAGUCAUAAGCUCGUGUUGAUUACGUCCCUGCCCUUUGUACACACCGCCCGUCGCUACUACCGAUUGAAUGAUUUAGUGAGGUCUUCGGACUGGCGCUCGGAGCGGCCUUCGGGUCGCGCCGACGUGCCGGAAAGAUGACCAAACUUGAUCAUUUCGUAAAAGUACCGGUGGCAAAGCCCCGAGAAAACAGCUCGCUACGAAGGCCGCUCGUAAGAGCGCCCCCGCCACCGGUGGCGUCAAAAAACCCCAUCGUUACAGGCCAGGAACUGUCGCUCUCAGGGAGAUCCGUCGGUACCAGAAAUCUACAGAGCUUUUGAUCCGCAAACUGCCUUUCCAGCGUUUGGUGAGAGAAAUCGCUCAGGACUUCAAGACCGAUCUCCGUUUCCAGAGUUCCGCCGUCAUGGCUCUUCAAGAAGCUAGCGAAGCUUACUUGGUUGGAUUGUUCGAAGACACAAACUUGUGCGCAAUUCACGCGAAGCGC
This 1385-nucleotide ribosomal RNA is filed under the name Psechrus sp. Pulau. RNAcentral's name for it is "bacterial SSU rRNA". The stretch from base 1 to 1101 matches the Rfam family "Eukaryotic small subunit ribosomal RNA", at positions 622 to 1831 of the family's 1831-position model. The record is from RNAcentral. Lineage: Eukaryota; Metazoa; Arthropoda; Arachnida; Araneae; Psechridae.